AAUUGGUGCAAUCUAGUUAAUUUGGGGCAUUGUCAUUCAUGGUUUGUUGAAAGAGUAAUUGGAAAUCGAGUCGUAUGCAUAUGUUUCAUGUGUGGAGAAGGAACCCUCUAGCUAGCCUUUCCCCAUUCUAUUUCAUCAAAAUCGUUUUUGUCAAGUAGUUUACAAAGUUUUGUUUUGUUUUGAAAUUCGUCCAAAAUCAAUCCCCCUUUACUUGGUUGAGUCAUAGUAGUUAGAAAUCAUUUUAGUUUGUGUUUUUAAGUGUCUUAGGUCAAGUGAAAACCAGUUUUCGUCCAAGUUUGUGUCUAGUGUUCAAAACUGCCCAGAUUGUCGUUUUAAGGCAAUUUUGAGUGUUUCUGGGCUGUUUUGAGUCUUUUGGUUUGUUUUGGUGUUUUAAAGUUUAGUUUUGCAUUCUUUGAGUCUAGUUUAGUGUUUUAAACUUGUUUUACGUAUUUGAGUAAGUUUUCAAGUGAUUUCGCAAUCCCUCCUAAUCCCCGGUUUAGAACGAUCCCUACUUACAUACUUUGCUAGAAUUGAUAAAAAGAGGGUUAAUUUGUGUGUCAACAUAAUUUUCACAUCAAUUCGCAGAAAAAUCAUUAGUAGAAACUAAACUUGACACGUUUUUACCUUUAUUGGAUGAAUUGGACGAAUUGUGAUCACUUGUAGCUUGCGGCAAUGUUGGUUCCACCCUUGGCCGUGAGUGGCCUUUGCUCCUCCUCUUCAAUUCUCAACUCUUCCUCCUCGUUGGAACGUGACUUGGAUGGUUUGAGGUCAGAUCCGACUUGCUUUCCACUUCGCAAAUGCAUAGCUUUUGCAGAUUCGAAUCCACCUUUCGGAUUGACCACCGUUGAGCUAGGCAACCUUCCUUGCUCACGAAAUUGCCCCAUGAACUCGGCAAUUUGUCC
RNAcentral lists this long non-coding RNA (902 nucleotides) under Malus domestica (apple). RNAcentral describes it as "long non-coding RNA (MDOM_LNC020827)". The record is from RNAcentral. Lineage: Eukaryota; Viridiplantae; Streptophyta; Magnoliopsida; Rosales; Rosaceae.